Molecule: ribosomal RNA, 473 nt
Filed under: uncultured bacterium
Lineage: Bacteria
Description: bacterial SSU rRNA
Rfam family: Bacterial small subunit ribosomal RNA
Source: RNAcentral
UGGGGAAUAUUGCGCAAUGGGCGAAAGCCUGACGCAGCAACGCCGCGUGAGUGAUGAAGGCCUUCGGGUCGUAAAGCUCUGUCGGAGGGAACGAAUGCUCUUGAGGUUAACAGCCUCGGGAGGUGACGGUACCCUCAAAGGAAGCACCGGCUAACUCUGUGCCAGCAGCCGCGGUAAUACGAAGGGGGCUAGCGUUGUUCGGAAUUACUGGGCGUAAAGCGCACGUAGGCGGAUUUGUAAGUCAGGGGUGAAAUCCCGGGGCUCAACCUCGGAACUGCGUUUGUGACUGUGUUGCUAGAGUGUAGCAGAGGGGGGUGGAAUUCCACGUGUAGCAGUGAAAUGCGUAGAGAUGUGGAGGAACACCGAUGGCGAAGGCAGCCCCCUGGGUUAACACUGACGCUCAUGCACGAAAGCGUGGGGAGCAAACAGGAUUAGAUACCCACGUAGUCCCUGAGCGGGCUGGCAAGGCGCAU